RNAcentral lists this long non-coding RNA (639 nucleotides) under Hordeum vulgare. Its description in RNAcentral is "long non-coding RNA (HVUL_LNC003949)". The record is from RNAcentral. Lineage: Eukaryota; Viridiplantae; Streptophyta; Magnoliopsida; Poales; Poaceae.
UCCAUCACCAUAUGCGCUCCACCAUCGCUAGGGCUCCCUGCUGCCCAUGGCCACCAACCACAUCGAUCCCCCCAACAUUGCGUUUACCCAAGCGCCCUUGGAUCGAUCCAUUGCCGCACUGACCCAAUCCUUCGCCGGGAUGGACCGGCGCCACGUCCCCGCCUAGGAAACCAAGCCUGCUCGCCAAGGUCCGUGCACCACUAGACCACUACCUUUUCUUUUGUGUCGUUGCCAAGAUCACCAGAUAGAGACACUUGUUCUACUACACUGCAAAAGUCGUAAUGACCCCAACGAUCUCAGAUUCGUCAAGAUCCUCUCCAACAAGUGUACAUCUAUCAUCGUCGUGGAUACGACAAGACCAUGUGAACCGCUAGUUCCACUACGACCAUCGCGAGAAUGUCUACUUCCUCUAUGCUGCAUUGUACCCAGUACGCCUCAACUAUACGCUUCAAACGUAUACCGUCGGGACAAGGCUCGUGAACAAAUGCAUGUGUGAUGUAUGAGAUGAACUGCAUGUUUGCACCUUACAUGAUUUCUCGUUGCACGUUGCCCAUAUUUUUCCAUGCCACCGACAUGUGGGACACCUGGUAGCGGGAUCACUCCCUAUCAUCGUUUGCACGACACACUCACAACCACACU